This is a long non-coding RNA of Daucus carota subsp. sativus, 1325 nucleotides long. RefSeq lists it as uncharacterized. The record is from RefSeq and is a predicted model, not a curated record. The transcript is spliced from 2 exons. Lineage: Eukaryota; Viridiplantae; Streptophyta; Magnoliopsida; Apiales; Apiaceae.
UUUACUCCCUCCUUAGCAAUUUUUUGUUUUCCCCUUCGAAACAUUCUUAUCUCUUAUCUCUAUCACCACUCUCUCUCGCGUCUCGACUACCCCUCUCUCUCUCGAUUCUCUCUUUCACAGCUCUCUCUGUCAAGAACACUUCUGCUCUUGGCUUUCUCUUGCUCCUCACCGCCCCGGCUUUCCUCACCGCUGCAUACCUCUGCUUUUCUCACCGCUUUGCUCUACUCUCUUCCUUUACGUUUAGCUCUCUCCGCUCGGCUCUCUCUCUAUUUCAGUUAAGUUUCUCUCUUCUCUUGUUAAUAUAUUGGAAAGUGGAAUUGAUCUUUUCUUCUUAUAAUCGAGCCCUAGUUUUUUAAAUCAAAACCCUAGUUCUUCUUUGUUGUGUGUUGGGGUAGAUAGCGGUUAUCUAGUAAAGUAUAUCCUCUUCCCAGAACUAUAUAAAUCACGAGAGUAUAUGGAGGCAGAGGAAACGGGAGGCCUAGAUCCGCUUCUCGGGAUCUGCCAUCUCUUCACUUAGAUGCUCGAAUCUGCUACUUGGGCAUGCCUAUUGUACCAGCAGUUACGGAGCUUCUUGUUGCUCAGUUUAUGUGUGGAUUAUGAUAAUCUAUAAAAGCCUAUAUAUCUUUACAUUAAUUCAUCAGGGACAUAGGUAAUUUCUUUAGUUUUUUGCACUAAUCUUUUCCUUUAAUGACUAUAAGCUGACAUUUGAGGAUUUUUCCUGUUAAAGCCAAAUCCAAAUGGACCUGUCUACUUAGGAGCUUCUGUUUUGGACCGUCAAGUUUUCUUUCCAUAUGGUACUGGUACUUGAUAGGGGUGGCAGUAUUAUUUGGAUUAGUAUUUGUCUUUAACGGAUUCUUCUUAAUGGCACUUCAGUUUCUCAACCGUAAACAUACUCUUUAUUUAAGUACUGAUAUUUUGGACAGGCUUUAAUCUCAGCAUAUUUAAUUACUCAUGUGCUUGUGUUCCAGUUUGCGUUUUGAUCAAUUAAGAUGGAGACUAAUGGAUGGAACGUUUUUACCACAGAUUCCUCCUAACACAACAUAGCCAGUCUACUAGGAAUCAUAACUUUGAAAUCACGAGUGUUCUUCACCAGCGCAUCUUGCUAUUAGAUAAGAGUUGGGACAUUUUUGGAUUUGUAUGAUCAAGUUCUAUUGUUAGUAAUAUUUUAAGUUACUAGUGUCUUAAUAGUUUGGUAUAUUUUUGUUAAGUGAUGUAGUAAUUAAUAUUGCUCGAUUUAUGUAUAUGAUUUUGCGGAUUGAAUUUAUAGAUUUGUAUAGGUGGUUUUUCAAAUACUUGUAGUUAUUUGGUUUGUUUUUUGGAUUGAA